CGGAUGGGUGAGUAACACAUAGGAAUCUGCCCAGUAGCGGGGGACAACUUGGGGAAACUCAAGCUAAUACCGCAUACGCCCUACGGGGGAAAGCGGGGGACCUUCGGGCCUCGCACUAUUGGAUGAGCCUAUGUCAGAUUAGCUUGUUGGUGGGGUAAUGGCCUACCAAGGCGACGAUCUGUAGCUGGUCUGAGAGGACGAUCAGCCACACUGGGACUGAGACACGGCCCAG
This 232-nucleotide ribosomal RNA is filed under the name uncultured bacterium. RNAcentral's name for it is "partial 16S ribosomal RNA". It matches the Rfam family "Bacterial small subunit ribosomal RNA", at positions 99 to 334 of the family's 1533-position model. The record is from RNAcentral.